Non-coding RNA from Zootoca vivipara (common lizard), 70 nucleotides. The record is from the annotation of a RefSeq genome assembly. NCBI's taxonomy places the organism in Eukaryota, Metazoa, Chordata, Lepidosauria, Squamata, Lacertidae.
GGACGUAGCUCAGUGGUAGAACAUCUGCCUUGCAAGCAGAAGGCCCCGGGUUCAAUCCCUGGCAUCUCCA